GAUGAACGCUGGCGGCGUGCCUAACACGUGCAAGUCGAACGAAGCACCUUACCUGAUUCUUCGGAUGAAAGUUUGGUGACUGAGUGGCGGACGGGUGAGUAACGCGUGGGUAACCUGCCCUGUACAGGGGGAUAACAGCUGGAAACGGCUGCUAAUACCGCAUACGCGCACGAGGAGACAUCUCCUUGUGUGAAAAACUCCGGUGGUACAGGAUGGGCCCGCGUCUGAUUAGCUGGUUGGCAGGGUAACGGCCUACCAAGGCAACGAUCAGUAGCCGGUCUGAGGGGAUGAACGGCCACAUUGGAACUGAGACACGGUCCAAACUCCUACGGGAGGCAGCAGUGGGGAAUAUUGCACAAUGGGGGAAACCCUGAUGCAGCAACGCCGCGUGAGUGAAGAAGUAUUUCGGUAUGUAAAGCUCUAUCAGCAGGGAAGAUAAUGACGGUACCUGACUAAGAAGCUCCGGCUAAAUACGUG
RNAcentral lists this ribosomal RNA (477 nucleotides) under uncultured bacterium. RNAcentral's name for it is "partial 16S ribosomal RNA". It matches the Rfam family "Bacterial small subunit ribosomal RNA", at positions 28 to 507 of the family's 1533-position model. The record is from RNAcentral.